Molecule: long non-coding RNA, 636 nt
Organism: Cyprinus carpio (common carp)
Lineage: Eukaryota; Metazoa; Chordata; Actinopteri; Cypriniformes; Cyprinidae
Source: Ensembl
AAAGUGAUGUACAGGAAUAAAAACUCAGUAUAUAAUACUGAUUUUCAUUGUUUUCUAGGUAAAAAAAGAAGAAAAAGGUAAGUUUUAUAUUCAUUCAAUUUAGUAGUAGGCCUAUAUGUUUGUUAGUAGUCUAUAUUGUAGUCCAGGAGCUGUAUGUGUAAAUGUUUAACUUCUUAUUUGAUAUAUUCAUGUAUGAAAAAUCUAUAAAACCUGAUGUGCCCAGUCAAGGAAUUGGUAUGGUGAGUGUCACAAUAAUAUUAACUAUAAAUACUUAUAUUAAACCAUAAUUAAUAUGACAUUGUUUGACGUAUACUAGACCUUAACUAUUGAUUAUGUUAUUUAGAGCUGUUCUGGACCUGCAGAGGCAUAUUCUCUGGUCACUUCUGUACCAGCCACAUCUCAGCCCAUGUCUGAAGAUGUCCUGGUCAAUAAAAAACAGAAACAGGGAAAUACAGAGAAAAAUGAGAAUGUUUAUCACCUGUACUCCACAAUCCCUGACAAACCAGUUCACUCACAUGCAGAAGAUCACAUGUACAGUUUGGUGAACAUGCACUGAUGAAUCUCAUGUCUGUGUUUAUUAUGUACAACCACUAUACUGUAAAUAAAAAAUCUUCACUUGCAGAUGAAUAAGUGUCC